AUGAUUACAGUGUGGAGCUUAACAUGGAGCAGGAUCUGCAGCAGUGACCCUGACAGAGAAGGGCACUGUGAGAAGCAGGGCUCCCUGAACAGCUGUGCACAGGAACAAGAUGCUGAGCCUCAUAGGGAAGCUCCAGAUGAAUGCUUUCUGCAAAACUAUGCAGCUUUAAAAGGAAACUGGGAUGUCCCUGAAAGGAUGGUUCCCACCAGCAGCUCCUCUGAACACAGAAGCAUGGCUUCAACAAAAUUCAGUCACUGCUCUCACCCCUCCAACAGCACUGGCAGUCCUGCCAUGACCCCCACCAUCCUGCAGCAAAAACCCAAGCAGCAAAAUAUAAUUACAAAUGAUCACAUACAUUUUAAGGGGAGUAAAAAUAUGAAAUAUAAGAAAAAGCACCUUGAAGAUGAGUGAUUCACAGUGAUGGAAAAAAAUUGAUUGCAAUGUAUGAAGCCCAUGAAUCAUUUUGAGAUCUUCAGUCAGAUAAAAUAUUAUUAUUAUUAUUUUUAUUAUUUUUAUUGUUGUUUCAUGUAAGUAAUGAUUGCAUUGCAUUUGAAAUGGCUUUGUAAUUUCCUGUGUAAUGCUACCCUUAGGUCUCUUCUAUAUUACCACUUUUCAAUUAUCUUUUCUUUUUCUUCUUGAAUGUAUAUGUUUUGAAUUAUUUUUUCAUCUGAUGUAUCAGCCCACUCUUCUUCAGAUUGAAUCUUAUUUUAUUAUUUCCUGCCCACAUUUCUACGGUUAGUAGUUUAUUGCUUUGUAAAGCUGAAAAAAUAAAAUAAAAUAAUGUUCAUGUCA
This 792-nucleotide long non-coding RNA is filed under the name Parus major (Great Tit). Its description in RNAcentral is "lncRNA (ENSPMJG00000010229.1)". The record is from RNAcentral. Lineage: Eukaryota; Metazoa; Chordata; Aves; Passeriformes; Paridae.